Molecule: ribosomal RNA, 484 nt
Filed under: uncultured bacterium
Lineage: Bacteria
Description: partial 16S ribosomal RNA
Rfam family: Bacterial small subunit ribosomal RNA
Source: RNAcentral
AUUGAACGCUGGCGGCAGGCCUAACACAUGCAAGUCGAGCGGAUGAAGGGAGCUUGCUCCUGGAUUCAGCGGCGGACGGGUGAGUAAUGCCUAGGAAUCUGCCUGGUAGUGGGGGAUAACGUCCGGAAACGGGCGCUAAUACCGCAUACGUCCUGAGGGAGAAAGUGGGGGAUCUUCGGACCUCACGCUAUCUGAUGAGCCUAGGUCGGAUUAGCUAGUUGGUGGGGUAAAGGCCUACCAAGGCGACGAUCCGUAACUGGUCUGAGAGGAUGAUCAGUCACACUGGAACUGAGACCCGGUCCAGACUCCUACGGGAGGCAGCAGUGGGGAAUAUUGGACGAUGGGCGAAAGCCUGAUCCAGCCAUGCCGCGUGUGUGAAGAAGGUCUUCGGAUUGUAAAGCACUUUAAGUUGGGAGGAAGGGCAGUAAGUUAAUACCUUGCUGUUUUGACGUUACCAACAGAAUAAGCACCGGCUAACUUCGUG